RNAcentral lists this unclassified non-coding RNA (199 nucleotides) under uncultured fungus. RNAcentral describes it as "sequence contains ITS1". Lineage: Eukaryota; Fungi. The record is from RNAcentral.
GUCUUUUGGUUAUUAUUAUUGGGUAUGUUGAUUGGAAGAAAGGUUGAAAAAAAGGGGGGUUGUUUUUUUUUGGUAAAAAAUAAUAGGGCGCUCCUCCCCCCUAAAGGGGAGGAAACACCCUACAGGUGCGACAAAGGGGUGUGGGAAAAAAGGACAGUGGUGUUCACUGAUGAUCCUUCCGCAGGUUCACCUACGGAAA